Molecule: transfer RNA, 72 nt
Filed under: Bos taurus (domestic cattle)
Lineage: Eukaryota; Metazoa; Chordata; Mammalia; Artiodactyla; Bovidae
Also listed under: 4 other names
Rfam family: tRNA
About the family: Transfer RNA (tRNA) molecules are approximately 80 nucleotides in length.
Source: Rfam by way of RNAcentral
UCCCUGGUAGCUCAGUUUGUAAAGAAUCUGCCUGCAACGCUGGAGAUCCCAGUUCAAUUUCUGGCUAGGGAA